AGGAGGGAGGCAGGGUGGGGUCAGUAGUUAAUUUGUCUUGAAAAGUAUUUAUCUUUUCGUCAUUGCUGUUAGGGUUUAGAUGUUUUUUGUUUAGUUAUCUGAGGAAUGUAGUGUUAGUAUAGGUUCCAAGGUGGAGAAUUCUUUGGAAUUCACUUUCACCCUUGAAACUGGAAGAUCUUAGAUUCUAUAAAGGGGGGGGGGGGGGGGGUGUGCACAGAAGGAGCAUGGGCUCAGACUUUUCUCUGAAUGAUAUUGUGACAAGUCUGUCCGAACGCAAGUGGCUGGUUAGGUGUGGGAAAGAGAUAGAGUGAUAGCCCCCGCUUUUGUCAGUUGACUUGGCGGUUUGGGGUAGGCUGAUCAAGGGCUUGCACUGGCCGGCGCAUGUCGACCUGUCACAUGUUCCAGUCGAGUCUCCGAGCUCAAUCUGUGUGUAAAAAUUAUGUGUUGGUAGAAAGUUUAAUGACUCAGCUCAGUUGGUAUGCUAUGCUGUCUAUCUUUUAGACUAUGUGUUUGUAGAGCAAUAUUAUGUAUAUAUUAUGUUACAGGGCUAGGAAAAGGUUAAAGGUUUUUGGUGUUAGGGUUAAAAUCACUGUCCAAAACCUUUGUAGGAACUCUUUUCCAACCUUUUGGAGUUAGACCAAAAAAGAAUGAAAAAUGAAAAGAAAAUAUUUGGGGUUUUCGGGCUUCCUGAAGGUAAUACCCAGGUAUUAGGUUAUGGGGCUAGGGUUAGGUUUUAGGUUUUUGGCGUUAGGGUUAAUAUCAAUGUCCAAAACCUUUGGAGGAACUCUUUUCCAAGCUUUUGGAGGUAGUUAGACAAAAAAAAAAAGAAAAAUUAGAAAAAAAUAUUUUUGGUUUUCGGGCUUCCUGAAGGUAAUACCCGGGUAUUAGGUUAUGGGGCUUUGGAAAGUUUUAGGGUUUUUGGCAUUAGGGUUAAAAUCACUGUCCAAAACCUUUGUAGGAACUCUUUUCCAAACUUUUGGAGUCAGUUAGACCAAAAAAAAAGAAAAAUAAAAAAAAAAUUAUUUGGGGUUUUCAGGCUUCCUGGAGGUAAUACCCUAAUAUUAGGUCAAGGGGCUAUGGUAAGGUUUAAGGUUUUUGGCGAUAGGGUUAAACUAACUGUCCAAAACCUUUUUAGGAACAUGUUUCAGACCUUUUGGAGUUGGUUACACCAAAAAAAAAUGUAAAAUGAGAAAAAAAUAUUUGGGGUGUUCGGGCUUCCUGAAGGUAUUAGGUUAUGGGGCUAUGGUAAGGUUUAAGGUUUUUGACGUAAGGGUGAAAAUAACUGUCCAAAACCUUUGUAGGAACUCUUUUCCAACCUUAUGGAGUUCAUUAGACCAAAAAUAAAUGAAAAAUGUAAAAAAAAAUAUUUGGGGUGUUCGGGCUUCCUGAAGGUAAUACCCGGGUAUUAGGUUAUGGGGCUUAGGAAAUAUUUAAGGUUUUUGGCGUUAGGGUUAAAAUCACUGUCCAAAACCUUUUUAGGAACAUGUUUCAGACCUUUUGCAGUUGGUUAAACCAAAAAAAAAAAUGUAAAAUGAAAAAAAAUAUUUGGGGUGUUCGGGCUUCCUGAAGGUAAUACAUGGGUAUUCGGUUUUGGGGCUAGGGAAAGGUUUAAGGUUUUUGGCGUUAGGGUUAAAAUCUCUGUCCAAAACCUUUGUAGGAACUCUUUUCCAACCUUUUGGAGUUAGGUAGACCAAAAAAAAUGAAAAAAAAAAUAUUUGGGGUGUUCGGGCUUCCUGAAGGUAAUACCCGGGUAUUAGGUUAUGGGGCUUUGGAAAGGUUUAAGGUUUUUUGCGUUAGGGUUAAAAUCACUUUCCAUAACCUUUGUAGGAACUCUUUUCCAACCUUUUGGAGUUAGUCAGAACAAAAAAAAGAUAAAAAAUAAAAAAUAUAUAUUUGGGGUGUUCGGGCUUCCUGAAGGUAAUACCCGUAUUAGGUUAUGGGGCUACGGUAAAAUUUUAGGUUUUUGGCGCUAGGGUUAAAAUCACUGUCCAAAAAGCUUUUUAGGAACUCUUUUCCAACCUUUUGGAGUUAGGUAGACCAAAAAAAAAAGAAAAAAGAAAAAAAUAUUAUUUGGGGUUUUCGGGCUUCCUGAAGGUAAUACCCGGGUAUUAGGUUUUGGGGCUAGGGUAAGGUUUGAGGUUUUUGGCAUUAGGGUCAAAAUCACUGUCCAAAACCUUUUUAGGAACAUGUUUCAGACCUUUUGGAGUUUUUACACCAAAAAAAAAGUAAAAUGAAAAAAUAAUAUUUGGGGUGUUCGGGCUUCCUGAAGGUAAUACCCGGGUAUUAGGUUAUGGGGCUAUGGUAAGUUUUAAGGUUUUUGGCAUUAGGGUUAAAAUCACUUGCCAAAACCUUUGUAGGAACUGUUUUCCAACCUUUUGGAGUUAGUUCGACAAAAAAAGUGAAAAAUGAAAAAAAAAUAUUUGGGGUGUUUGGGCUUCCUGAAGGUAAUACCCAGGUAUUAGGUAAUGGGGCUAUGGUAAGGGUUCAGUUUUUUGGCGUUAGGGUUAAAAUCACUGUCUAAAACCUUUGUGGGAACUCUUUUCCAACCUUUUGGAGUUAGUUAGACCAAAAAAAAAAAAAGAAAAAUGAAAAAAAAAAUAUUUGGGGUGUUCGGGCUUCCUGAAGGUAAUACCCAGGUAUUAGGUUAUGGGGCUAAGGUAAGGUUUAAGGUUUUUGGCGUUAGGGUUAAAAUCAAUGUCCAAAACCUUUGUAGGAACUCUUUUCCAGGCUUUUGGAGUUAGUUAGACCAAAAAAACAUGAAAAAUAAAAAAAUAUAUAUUUGGGGUGUUCGGGCAUCCUGAAGGUAAUAGCAGGGUAUUAGGUUUUGUGGCUAAGGUAAGGUUUAAGGUUUUUGGCGUGAGGGUUAAAAUCACUGUCCAAAACCUUUGUAGGAACUCUUUUCCAACCUUUUGGAGUCAGUUACACCAAAAAAAAAAUGUAAAAUGAAAAAAAAAAUAAUUUGGGGUGUUCGGGCUUCCUGAAGGUAAUACCCCGGUAUUAGAUUAUGGGGCUAUGGUAAGGGUUAAGGUUUUUGGCGUUAGGGUUAAAAUCACUGUCCAAAACCUUUGUAGGAACUCUUUUCCAACCUUUUGGAGUUAGUUAGACCAAACAAAAAUGAAAAAUGAAAAAAAAAUAUUUGUUGUUUUUGGGCUUCCUGAAGGUAAUACCCAGGUAUUAGGUUAUGGGGCUAUGGUAAGCGUUCAGUUUUUUGGCGUUAGGGUUAAAAUCACUGUCCAAAACCUUUGUGGGAACUCUUUUCCAAGCUUUUGGAGUUAGUUAGACCAAAAAAACAUGAAAAAUAAAAAAAUAUAUAUUUGGGGUGUUCGGGCUUCCUGAAGGUAAUACCCGGGGUAUUAGGUUAUGGGGCUUUUGAAAGUUUUAGGGUUUUUGGCAUUAGGGUUAAAAUCACUGUCCAAAACCUUUGUAGGAACUCUUUUCCAACAUUUCGGAGUUCGUUAGACCAAAAAAAAGAUGAAAAAAUAUAUAUAUAUAUUUGGGGUGUUCGGGCUUUCUUAAGGUAAUACCCGGGUAUUGAAUUAUGGGGCUAUGGUAAGGUUUAAGGUUUUUGGUGUUAAGGUUAAAAUCACUGUCCAAAACCUUUGUAGGAACUCUUUUCCAAGCUUUUGGAGCUGGUUACACUAAAAAAAAUGUAAAAUGAAAAAAAAAUAUUUGGGGUGUUCGGGCUUCCUGAAGGUAAUACCGGUAUUAGGUUAUGGGGCUAUGGUAAGUUUUAAGGUUUUUGGCGUUAGGGUUAAAAUCACUGUCCAAAACCUUUGUAGGAACUCUUUUCCAAGCUUUUGGAGUUAGUUAGACCAAAAAAACAUGAAAAAUUAAAAAAUAUAUAUUUGGGGUGUUCGGGCAUCCUGAAGGUAAUACCCGGGUAUUAGGUUUUGGGGCUAAGGUAAGGUUUAAGGUUUUUGGCGUGAGGGUUAAAAUCACUGUCCAAAACCUUUGUAGGAACUCUUUUCCAACCUUUUGGAGUCAGUUACACCAAAAUAAAAAUGUAAAAUGAAAAAAAAAUAAUUUGGGGUGUUCGGGCUUCCUGAAGGUAAUACACCGGUAUUAGAUUAUGGGGCUAUGGUAAGGGUUAAGGUUUUUGGCGUUAGGGUUAAAAUCACUGUCCAAAACCUUUGUAGGAACUCUUUUCCAACCUUUUGGAGUUAGUUAGACCAAACAAAAAUGAAAAAUGAAAAAAAAAUAUUUGUGGUUUUCGGGCUUCCUGAAGGUAAUACCCGGGUAUUAGGUUAUGGGGCUUUUGAAAGUUUUAGGGUUUUUGGCAUUAGGGUUAAAAUCACUGUCCAAAACCUUUGUAGGAACUCUUUUCCAACAUUUCGGAGUUCGUUAGACCAAAAAAAAGAUGAAAAAACAUAUAUAUAUAUAUUUGGGGUGUUCGGGCUUCCUUAAGGUAAUACCCGGGUAUUGAAUUAUGGGGCUAUGGUAAGGUUUAAGGUUUUUGGUGUUAAGGUUAAAAUCACUGUCCAAAACCUUUGUAAGAACUCUUUUCCAAUCUUUUGGAGCUGAUUACACUAAAAAAAAUGUAAAAUGAAAAAAAAAUAUUUGGGGUGUUCGGGCUUCCUGAAGGUAAUACUUAGUAUGACCUUUGUAGGGACUCUUUUCCAAGCUUUUGGAGCUGAUUUCACUAAAAAAAAUGUAAAAUGAAAAAAAAAUAUUUGGGGUGUUCGGGCUUCCUGAAGGUAAUACCCGGGUAUUAGGUUAUGGGGCUAUGGUAAGUUUUAAGGUUUUUGGCGUUAGGGAUAAAAACACUGUCCAAAACCUUUGUAGGAACUCUUUUCCAACCUUUUGGAGUUAGUUAGACCAAAAAAAAAAAGAAAAAAGGAAUAAAAAAUAUUUGGGAUUUUCGGGCUUCCUGAAGGUAAUACCCGGGUAUUAGGUUUUGGGGCUAGGGUAAGGUUUGAGGUUUUUGGCAUUAGGGUUAAAAUCACUGUCCAAAACAUUUUUAGGAACAUGUUUCAGACCUUUUGGAGUUUGUACACCAAAAUAAAAAUGUAAAAUGAAAAAAAAAUAUUUGGGGUGUUCGGGCUACCUGAAGGUAAUAACCCGGGUAUCAGGUUAUGGGGCUAUGGUAAGGUUUAAGGUUUUUGGCGUUAGGGUUAAAAUUAUUGUCCAAAACCUUUGUAGGAACUCUUUUCCAACCUUUUGGAGUUAGUUAGACCAAAAAAAAAAGAAAAAUGAAAAAAAAUAUUUGGGGUUUUCGGGCUUCCUGAAGGUAAUACCUGGGUAUUAGGUUAUGGGGCUUAGGAAAGGUUUAAGGUUUUUGGCGUUAGGGUUAAAAUCACUGUCCAAAAACCUUUGUAGGAACUCUUUUCCAACCUUUUGGAGUUAGGUAGACCAAAAAAAAAAAGAAAAAAGAAAAAAAAAUAUUUGGGGUUUUCCGGCUUCCUGAAGGUAAUACCCGGGUAUUAGGUUUUGGGGCUAGGGUAAGGUUUGAGGUUUUUGGCGUUAGGGUUAAAAUGACUGUCCAAAACCUUUUUGGGAACAUGUUUCAGAUCUUUUGCAGUUGGUUAAACCAAAAAAAAAAGUAAAAUGAAAAAAAAAUAUUUGGGGUGUUCGGGCUUCCUGAAGGUAAUACCCGGGUAUUAGGUUAUGGGGCUAUAGUUAGGUUUAAGGUUUUUGAAGUUAGGGUGAAAAUAACUGUCCAAAUCCUUUGUAGGAACUCUUUUCCAACCUUAUGGAGUUCGUUAGACCAAAAAAAAGAAAAAUGAAAAAAAAAUAUUUGGGGUGUUCGGGCUUCCUGAAGGUAAUAGGAAAUUGGAAAGGUUUAAGGUUUUUGGCGUGAGGGUUAAAAUCACUGUCCAAAACCUUUGUAGGAACUCUUUUCCAACCUUUUGGAGUCAGUUACACCAAAAAAAAAAUGUAAAAUGAAAAAAAAAAUAAUUUGGGGUGUUCGGGCUUCCUGAAGGUAAUACCCCGGUAUUAGAUUAUGGGGCUAUGGUAAGGGUUAAGGUUUUUGGCGUUAGGGUUAAAAUCACUGUCCAAAACCUUUGUAGGAACUCUUUUCCAACCUUUUGGAGUUAGUUAGACCAAACAAAAAUGAAAAAUGAAAAAAAAAUAUUUGUUGUUUUUGGGCUUCCUGAAGGUAAUACCCAGGUAUUAGGUUAUGGGGCUAUGGUAAGGGUUCAGUUUUUUGGCGUUAGGGUUAAAAUCACUGUCCAAAACCUUUGUGGGAACUCUUUUCUAAGCUUUUGGAGUUAGUUAGACCAAAAAAACAUGAAAAAUAAAAAAAUAUAUAUUUGGGGUGUUCGGGCAUGCUGAAGGUAAUACCCGGGGUAUUAGGUUAUGGGGCUUUUGAAAGUUUUAGGGUUUUUGGCAUUAGGGUUAAAAUCACUGUCCAAAACCUUUGUAGGAACUCUUUUCCAACAUUUCGGAGUUCGUUAGACCAAAAAAAAGAUGAAAAAAUAUAUAUAUAUAUUUGGGGUGUUCGGGCUUUCUUAAGGUAAUACCCGGGUAUUGAAUUAUGGGGCUAUGGUAAGGUUUAAGGUUUUUGGUGUUAAGGUUAAAAUCACUGUCCAAAACCUUUGUAGGAACUCUUUUCCAAGCUUUUGGAGCUGGUUACACUAAAAAAAAUGUAAAAUGAAAAAAAAAUAUUUGGGGUGUUCGGGCUUCCUGAAGGUAAUACCGGUAUUAGGUUAUGGGGCUAUGGUAAGUUUUAAGGUUUUUGGCGUUAGGGUUAAAAUCACUGUCCAAAACCUUUGUAGGAACUCUUUUCCAACCUUUUGGAGUCAGUAUGACCAAAAAAAAAAAAAAAAAAAAAAAAUAUAUAUAUUUGGGGUGUUCGGGCUUCCUGAAGGUAAUACCCAGGUAUUAGGUUAUGGGGCUUAGGAAAGGUUUAAGGUUUUUGGCCUUAGGGUUAAAAUCACUGUCCAAAACCUUUUUAGGAACACGUUUCAGACCUUUUGGAGUUUGUACACCAAAAAAAAAUGUAAAAUUAAAAAAAAAUAUUUGGGGUGUUCCGGCUUCCUGAAGGUAAUACCCGGGUAUCAGGUUAUGGGGCUAUGGUAAGGGUCAAGGUUUUUGUUGUUAGGGUUAAAAUCACUGUCCAAAACCUUUGUAGGAACUCUUUUCCAACCUUUUCGAGUCAGUUAGACCAAUAAAAAAUAAAAAAAAUAAAAAAAAUUUAUUUGGGGUGUUCGGGCUUCCUGAAGGUAAUACCCGCGUAUUAGAUUAUGGGGCUAUGGUAAGGUUUAAGGUUUUUGGCGAUAGGGUUAAAAUCACUGUCCAAAACCUUUGUAGGAACUCUUUUCCAACCUUUUUGAGUCAGUUAGACCAAAAAAAAAUUAAAAAUGAAAAAAAAAUAUUUGGGGUGUUUGGGCUUCCUGAAGGUAAUACCCUAAUAUUAGGUUAUGGGGCUAUGGUAAGGUUUAAGGUUUUUGGCGAUAGGGUUAAACUAACUGUCCAAAACCUUUUUAGGAACAUGUUUCAGACCUUUUGGAGUUGGUUACACCAAAAAAAAAAGUAAAAUGAAAAAAAAAUAUUUGGGGUGUUCGGGCUUCCUGCAGGUAUUAGGUUAUGGAGCUAUGGUAAGGGUUCAGUUAUUUGGCGUUAGGGUUAAAAUUAUUGUCCAAAACCUUUGUAGGAACUCUUUUCCAACCUUUUGGAGUUAGUUAGACCAAAAAAAAAUGAAAAAUGAAAAAAAAAUAUUUGGGGUUUUCGGGCUUCCUGAAAGUAUUAGGUUAAGGGGCUUAGGAAAGGUUUAAGGUUUUUGGCGUUAGGGUUAAAAUCACUGUCCAAAACCUUUUUAGGAACAUGUUUCAGACCUUUUGCAGUUGGUUAAACCAAAAAAAAAAAGUAAAAUGAAAAAAAAAUAUUUGGGGUGUUCGGGCUUCCUGAAGGUAAUACCCGGGUAUUAGGUUAUGGGGCUAUAGUAAGGUUUAAGGUUUUUGACGUUAGGGUGAAAAUAACUGUCCAAAACCUUUGUAGGAACUCUUUUCCAACCUUAUGGAGUUCGUAAAGCCGCGUUCAGACCAAACGCGACCAGGUCGCGUCGCGUCGCGUUGGUCGGUCAGGUCGCGUCGCGUGGUGCUCUGGUGUGUUCACACCGGGUCCAAAGUUGCAGUCGCAGGUCGCGGCUGGUCGCCGGUGACGUCAUCCAUGUCACUAGCUCAGUUUUCAGUUCAUCAGUGCUGCUGCAUAUCUGUACAUCCGCAGUAGACGCCGCCGGCGUUUAUGGGUGCAUGAAACCAUCCGGAGGAGGACGGAGCUGGGUGAAUUUCACCGCUUGCUCCAGGAACUCCGCCUGGACGACGGCCGCUUCCAGCGGUAUUGCCGUGUGUCGACGGCGCAGUUCGAGGACCUCCUCGCCCAGGUGGGAAGCAGCAUCUCCCGCCUGGACACGAAAUACAGGCGCUCCAUCUCAGCUUCGGAGCGCCUGUCUAUCUGUCUGUCCCUCAUAUAAACGUCUCUAAGCCCCUUCCACCGCUUGCGGCACACAUCCACUGCAAAGACACACACACACAUACGUUGAAACAUGUAGCCUAGCAAGCAGGGGCAGUUAGCUGGGUGGUAGCUAACGGAUGUGAUUAACUGCUCCUCCAUUGUGAUUCUUCUUCUCCUCUUCCUUGUUUCGCCGGUUUGUUGACGUAAGCAGAGCCCUGAUUGGCUGUCGCGGCACGAAGUCGCUCCCAAAGUUCAAAUAUUUGAACUUUGGGAGCGACGCGACUUGGCGUCCUGCGACCUCGGCGUCCUGCGACCUCGGCGACGCGACCUCGGGGACGCGCCUUGGCGCCUUGGCGACCGGUCGCCCGGUCGCGCAUGGCCGCGUCGCAGGAAGCCGGCGGUCGCCAAGUCGCAUCAGGUCGCGGCUGGCCAUAGACUUUGCAUUGGGAGCCGUCGCCAAGUCGCGUCAGGUCGCGGCUGGUCUGAACGCGGCUUUAGACCAAAAAAAAAAGAAAAAUGAAAAAAAAAUAUUUGGGGUGUUCGGGCUUCCUGAAGGUAAUAGGAAAUAGGAAAGGUUUAAGGUUUUUGGCGUUAGGGUUAAAAUCACUGUCCAAAAACCUUUGUAGGAACUCUUUUCCAAGAAAAAUGAAAAAAAAAUAUUUGGGGUGUUCGGGCUUCCUGAAGGUAAUAGGAAUAGGAAAGGUUUUAGGUUUUUGGCUUUAGGGUUAAAAUCACUGUCCAAAAACCUUUGUAGGAACUCUUUUCCAAACUUUUGGAGUCAGUUAGACCAAAAAAAAAUGAAAAAUGAAAUAAAAAAUAUUUGGGGUGUUCAGGCUUCCUGAAGGUAAUACCCGGGUAUUAGGUUAUGGGGCUUAGGAAAUGUUUAAGGUUUUUGGCAUUAGGGUUAAAAUCACUGUCCAAAAACCUUUGUAAGAACUCUUUUCCAAACUUUUGGAGUUAGGUUGACCAAAAAAAAAAAGAAAAAAGAAAAAAAAAUAUUUGGGGUGUUCGGGCUUCCUGAAGGUAAUACCCGGGUAUCAGGUUAUUGGGCUAUGGUAAGGUUUAAGGUUUUUGGCGUUACAGUUAAAAUCACUGUCCAAAACCUUUGUAGGAACUCUUUUCCAACCUUUUGGAGUCAGUUAGACCCCAAAAAAAGAGAAAUGAAAAAAAAAUAUUUGGGGUUUUCAGGCUUCCU
Xyrichtys novacula (pearly razorfish) is the source of this 9589-nucleotide non-coding RNA. The record is from the annotation of a GenBank genome assembly. Lineage: Eukaryota; Metazoa; Chordata; Actinopteri; Labriformes; Labridae.